Long non-coding RNA from Manihot esculenta (cassava), 1320 nucleotides. RefSeq lists it as uncharacterized. The transcript is spliced from 3 exons. Lineage: Eukaryota; Viridiplantae; Streptophyta; Magnoliopsida; Malpighiales; Euphorbiaceae. The record is from RefSeq and is a predicted model, not a curated record.
UUUCUUCCUGACCUUAGACCUUUUUUUUUCAUCCUAAAUUGAUAAAAAGCCUGAUUUUCUUUCCGCUUACUAAAAAACGACACAGUUUCUGCACCUCCAUUUCGAUCCUCCAUCAAACUCACGACACCCCCAAUUUCCCUAAUCUGACAGAAACCAGUUCCUCAUCUGCUCUUCUUCUUCUUCCCAAAAUCGGCCCAUUCCCGGCCCCAUUUUCUUCUCCCAUUCGCGCCACUGAAGCCACCAGUAGGCGGUACCAGCGAACCCCAUACCACCGACACCCGAGCUUCCACCCUCGACCUCUACCCAUCACAACUAGAACCCAGAUUACCAUCUCUAUCUUCCUUUCAGCCCUGAACCCCCACUAUCCCUCUCCAUUGUCCUUCACCUCCAAAAACCAGACCAUCGCCUCACCUGUACCACUUUCCCUCUCCAUCGUCCUUCAUCUCCAUAAACCAGACCUACGACAUCACCUCUACGGCUCUACACCAUCUGACGCAUCUCCUUCAUCAUCGACACCCACCACCAUCCCUUUGGAAUCCAUUCUCAUUUUUCGCAGAUCGAUUCCAAUGAACCCAGCCUUCCACGACCCCAUGAUAAGCAGCAACGACGCACCUAGAACCAUUAAUUGAAGCAGCGUCUACCUCUAUUUUGUCGAGAUAGAGCAUCCAUUUGCUUGUACGACCGGGGCAAAAACUCGUUCUCACCAGCAGCAUCAUCAGUUUUCAGGCUAAAGAUUUAGCGUGAUGGUUGCAAUCUUGUUCUCUUGUUGUUGGGGUCGUGAAUCUCUGAAAGGGAAAUGUUGGAGAGGUCGUUCCAUAAGGAUAGGACUUGGGAGAUUUUAAGGGCUACAAUAAAGUAACCGCUAUAGAGCGAGGCUUGUACCGACAAUAGGUAAGUAAAACUAAACUAAACUCUUAUUUUAAUCAAAUCAAAUGUUUUAAGUAUGCUCAUACAUUAUAAAUACCAUGCAUAUUUGAAUAGGCUGUCAUGCAUUAAAUUCAUGAAUAUGAUGCAAUACAUAUUUAACUGUUAUUGUGAAUGGAUAUUGGAUGAUCCAUUAGCCUUCAUGACAUGAUACAAUAUAUUUAUGCAUGACAAAUAUGGAAGUUUAGGUCGAUACCCAUUUUACGUCCCUGCCAUUAUGUAAGAAAAAGACCAGGUACCCAUUCUAUGCCCCUAACACUAUGGAUAUAUUAUGUUUGAAAAAAAGUCCUGAGCAGCACUUGUUAUGGGUCGGACACUAUUAGAUUUUAUGGAGGGUUAUUAAUGACAAGUCUAUCUUAUUGUUAAUUGUUUAUGCUAUGAUGCAUACAGGCAAAU